Molecule: ribosomal RNA, 468 nt
Filed under: uncultured bacterium
Lineage: Bacteria
Description: partial 16S ribosomal RNA
Rfam family: Bacterial small subunit ribosomal RNA
Source: RNAcentral
GACGAACGCUGGCGGCGUGCUUAACACAUGCAAGUCGAACGGACAGGCCCUGCUUUUGUGGGGUGCUCGAGUGGCGAACGGGUGAGUAACACGUGAGUAACCUGCCCUUGACUUUGGGAUAACUUCAGGAAACUGGGGCUAAUACCGGAUAGGAGCUCCUGCUGCAUGGUGGGGGUUGGAAAGUUUCGGCGGUUGGGGAUGGACUCGCGGCUUAUCAGCUUGUUGGUGGGGUAGUGGCUUACCAAGGCUUUGACGGGUAGCCGGCCUGAGAGGGUGACCGGACACAUUGGGACUGAGAUACGGCCCAGACUCCUACGGGAGGCAGCAGAGGGGAAUAUUGCACAAUGGGCGGAAGCCUGAUGCAGCAACGCCGCGUGCGGGAUGACGGCCUUCGGGUUGUAAACCGCUUUCGCCUGUGACGAAGCGGGAGUGACGGUAAUGGGUAAAGAAGCACCGGCUAACUACGUG